AGAAUCAACGCUGGCGGCGUGCCUAACACAUGCAAGUCGAACGAGAAAGUGGAGCAAUCCAUGAGUAAAGUGGCGCACGGGUGAGUAACACGUGACUAACCUACCCUUGAGUGGGGAAUAACUGAGGGAAACCUUAGCUAAUACCACAUAAUACCUACGGGUCAAAGGAGCAAUUCGCUUAAGGAGGGGUCGCGGCAGAUUAGCUAGUUGGCGGGGUAAUGGCCCACCAAGGCAGUGAUCUGUA
Molecule: ribosomal RNA, 244 nt
Filed under: uncultured bacterium
Lineage: Bacteria
Description: partial small subunit ribosomal RNA
Rfam family: Bacterial small subunit ribosomal RNA
Source: RNAcentral